Molecule: ribosomal RNA, 520 nt
Filed under: uncultured bacterium
Lineage: Bacteria
Description: bacterial SSU rRNA
Rfam family: Bacterial small subunit ribosomal RNA
Source: RNAcentral
GGGAAUCUGCCCUUGGGUUCGGAAUAACAGUGAGAAAUUACUGCUAAUACCGGAUGAUGUCUUCGGACCAAAGAUUUAUCGCCCAAGGAUGAGCCCGCGUAGGAUUAGGUAGUUGGUGGGGUAAUGGCCUACCAAGCCGACGAUCCUUAGCUGGUCUGAGAGGAUGAUCAGCCACACUGGGACUGAGACACGGCCCAGACUCCUACGGGAGGCAGCAGUGGGGAAUAUUGGACAAUGGGCGAAAGCCUGAUCCAGCAAUGCCGCGUGAGUGAUGAAGGCCUUAGGGUUGUAAAGCUCUUUUACCCGGGAUGAUAAUGACAGUACCGGGAGAAUAAGCUCCGGCUAACUCCGUGCCAGCAGCCGCGGUAAUACGGAGGGAGCUAGCGUUGUUCGGAAUUACUGGGCGUAAAGCGCGCGUAGGCGGCUGCUCAAGUCAGAGGUGAAAGCCCGGGGCUCAACCCCGGAACUGCCUUUGAAACUAGGUAGCUAGAAUCUUGGAGAGGUCAGUGGAAUUCCGAGU